Molecule: long non-coding RNA, 230 nt
Filed under: Vigna radiata
Lineage: Eukaryota; Viridiplantae; Streptophyta; Magnoliopsida; Fabales; Fabaceae
Description: long non-coding RNA (VRAD_LNC002622)
Source: RNAcentral
AAAAUUAGGUCUGGCCGUCUUCCCCUGUCAAAAGAAUGACUCUGAAUUCGUAACAGGGGUAUUUAUAGUGAGGAGCGCGUCAAAAACAGGCCCAAGUCCAGCGUGCUACCGCCGGGCGGUUUAAGUGUGCCGCCCGGCAGUUUCCCAUAACCUGCCACCACCGCCCGAUGGCAGUCACCACCGCCCAAUGGUUUCCCAUGCCACUGCCCGGCGGCAAUCGCCAACACCCG